RNAcentral lists this ribosomal RNA (494 nucleotides) under uncultured bacterium. Its description in RNAcentral is "partial 16S ribosomal RNA". It matches the Rfam family "Bacterial small subunit ribosomal RNA", at positions 28 to 506 of the family's 1533-position model. The record is from RNAcentral.
GACGAACGCUGGCGGCGUGCCUAAUACAUGCAAGUAGAACGCUGAAGGAGGAGCUUGCUCUUCUGGAUGAGUUGCGAACGGGUGAGUAACGCGUAGGUAACCUGCCUGGUAGCGGGGGAUAACUAUUGGAAACGAUAGCUAAUACCGCAUAACAGUAGAUGUUGCAUGACAUUUGCUUAAAAGGUGCAAUUGCACCACUACCAGAUGGACCUGCGUUGUAUUAGCUAGUUGGUGGGGUAACGGCUCACCAAGGCGACGAUACAUAGCCGACCUGAGAGGGUGAUCGGCCACACUGGGACUGAGACACGGCCCAGACUCCUACGGGAGGCAGCAGUAGGGAAUCUUCGGCAAUGGACGGAAGUCUGACCGAGCAACGCCGCGUGAGUGAAGAAGGUUUUCGGAUCGUAAAGCUCUGUUGUAAGAGAAGAACGAGUGUGAGAGUGGAAAGUUCACACUGUGACGGUAUCUUACCAGAAAAGGACGGCUAACUACGU